CUUUGGGGUCUUGCGCUGGCAAAUGGCUGUCCUCUGUCUUUGCCUGUAAAACUGAAGAAGGUAGCCAAAAAAGUUAUAUAUUUCCGAUUAUCUGCAUAAACGACGAAGUAGCCCAGUAUCAGGCGCAGCAGCACCAGUUAAAGCUCCACAGAUCGCUCAUUAGCCUCCCUCUCUCCAACGUUCUGCCCGUUCUUUUAAGAAUGACUGAACAAUCUGCGAAAGGCCAACGCGUUCCUCCUGGGCGCGCUGUUAUGUGGACUGAUAUUGACGGCCGGGGAGUCAUUAGAAGAUCACACUUAAGCUGACGAGGGGAGAAUCCAGGGGACGUGUCCACCCUGAUUGCUUAAUUUGAUCUUCCCCUGCUGCGCUAGCACUUCUGCAGCACUCGGGCCAGAAGCAAUCAGAACGCGGGAGAGACGCGGGGACUUAAAGGAACAGAGGACCACGCGAGGCGAUGCCGAUGACGGAGGGUGAGGCGACGGGAGGCGAACGACGAUCCGUCUGAAGGACGGGACCCCAAGGCCCCCACGGGGGGAGACCAGACUGGCGUGAGCUCCUGCCGGGCGUCAGCAACCGGCCACAAGGGCAUUUAAAAAAGUGCUAAUAAGCAUCUACUGUGCUGUCCUGCUACAGUAUACGGCUCUGCCUGAAGUGCCCCCCCUCCCAACACUCCCUCCGUUGUUUACCUCUUUUCCCUUCAAGUGUGUUUUCAAGCUAUUAGUGAAGUCCCAAGGUCUAUUUGGAAGCAGAAACACAACUGUCCUGGGCCUGACCGGAGGAGAGUUUGGCUUCGGCUGCUGCCCUCAGCACGUUGGCAGAUCCUCAGACGCCGUCGUCUCUCCCUCCAUCGUCUUCUCACAUGCGAGGCCGAGCCAAGACGUGCUUCUGUCAACCUCCACAGCUCCGUGCCAUCAGCUGUGGGCCUCCCACUCUGACUACAGCCGACAGGGCCUUCCUCCAUCCGUUUAGGCUCGUUGGACAUAGUCGUUGUGAGGUUUUGGGGCUCAGAUGGAAGACACAUAGCACAGAGGUGCUGAAGAAGACGCGUUGUAAUCACAAAGAUGGAGGGAUGAUGUCAAUCACAGCAUCUACAGCGCAUGGAGGCCUCAAUGCAGCCAGAAUUGAACGAUCCUCGGUGUCAGAACAGGAGCCACCCUGCUUCUGCUUAGUCUGGUACAAAAAUCAAUCUCGGUGCGCUAUAAAUGCACUCACGCUUCGCACGUCGUACAUCAUCCAACUUUAUCCUCCUACCCAUCGUCUUUGACCCCGUCUCAUCUCCAUCAUUGCCAAAAGUUGGAUUACAAAGUGGCACGCAGUCGGGAAACCAUUUCCUUUGCAGUCCGAUGGUCCCGACGUUGAUCUUGAGGACAGUCACUGGUGGAGUUCGUAUAUUUAUCGAAGCGCCAUCUCUCAUCUGAAUCCACGCCGUUUUCUUCACAAAAUGUCAGCCUGCGUCGUUGUGUAUGGAUCUACUGCUAAAUGGGAGAUUAAAAAAGUAAAAUGGCUCCUCAGUCACUUGAAUGUGACGUUACGCUCCCCGUCUGAGACCACGCUUCGAAACGAGCAGCACGUGACGUCACGGACGAUCCGACCGCCCCUCUGAUUCACUAAGCUGCUUCCACAGGGAGAAGUGAAGGAGUCUGAGUCUCCGUUCUUCACGUUGAAAUCGAAACAUUAUCACUUUCAGUCUGCAGCUCUCUCUGGCUCUACUGGGCUCAGUGAUGGGAAGCGGGUGAAGAAAAGUAUACGUCGGCUCUGAACUCGCCAACGAGGAAGGUUCUGUCAGGUGUCACACUUCACUUCAGUUCAACACCAUCCGUGUCUGAUGGACGCAAAGCUUAAAUUAAACCCGUAUCCGACAAUGAUGAUGCGGAUGUGGUACAUUUUAUGUGUUAUUUAUGAGUGAAGGUGCUGUGUGGUGCAGCAGGUGCAGCAGACUUUGGGGUCGGGCGGCCCGGCAGGUCCCCGUGGGACCCCGGCGGCAGAAGUGGCAGCAGAGUGAAUGUUGCCUCCAUUAGAGACAGGAGCUGGAGGAUUAGUGCCAGGGGCCGGGCUAAUGACUGUCACGGCCACAGAAAGCCGAUUUGCUGAAACCGCGGCAGAGAGGCAUGAAGCCGAAAUCUCCAGCUAAGACCCAGUGUGAGGGGCCGGAAUAAAGACCGCCUGCGAAAAUCACAAAGAAUACGCAAUACAUACGUUUCCCGUGUUCCUUUCUAGUAACAUUCUAGAAGAGGAAAAAACUACAAGUACUGAUGCAUUGGGGAUAAUUGUGGAAGAAUAUCCAGGGUAAUGUGUUUUCUUACAUCCACUGACCUGUCAAAAAAUUUUUAAGCCAGAUCUGCUUUUGAGAAAUAUGUAAUUCACUUUAGUGCUUAAACUGUGGGGAUACAGAGCUCCUUCAUCGCUAGCUCCUUAGACAGAAACCGCUGGUGAAUGGGAGGAGGGGGGUGUAAACAGCUUUUGUUGUUCCACACGACGGCGUGUCAUAAACGCGUGACAUUUUUGACGAUCUGAUCUGAGGAAUUUCUUUUUUUAUUUUAUUUUUUUGGUGCCUCUUUCUCCUCAAACCGCUUCCCAUCCCCCUGUUCCGUCUGAAUGUGCAGCCUACAAACACGCAUGCCUGGCCAUUGAUUUGACCCGUCCAGAGUAUACAGGGCCAAAGGAGAGCGCUCAUGGAAAAGUUUGUGCAAUUGAUCUCUGGGGUCUUUAAAUGCAGGACCCGCUCUCUCUGUCUCUCUCUCUAUUUCCCUUUCUCUCUCUCUCUGUCUCAACCUCUGUUGAGGUUGUUUCAACAGAGAUCCGUUCCACUGGCUGAAUAUGCAUUUUCUGGGUUAGCGUGGAGGCGGAGGAGGAAAAGGUAAAGGGAGAAUGUUGCUGUUUAGAGUCUAGAGGAUGUGGAGUCGCUGCAAAAUACUGUAAAGGAAGGAAAGGUUCAUUUAUCGCUAGAGGAAGUAUGAACAACACAGAUUGACUCACUCUCUUGUCAAUAAUAAUUAUUUAUUUGAACAAUCAAUUAUUUGCCUUUUGGGACGAGCUCGUAGAAUAUUGUCAUGCAUUUUCUCUUUAAGUUUGUGAAGAUAUAAGGUCAUAUAUUUAAACUAAAUUUGAAAACCUACACUUACAGCUCGGACACAUUUAUGUAAAAAGAAAUGAAUUAGUUAUCUAAAAUUCAUAUUACCUCUAUUUUAAUUGAGCUACAUCCACUUAGUGGAAGUGAUGAGCCACCAUGCUUCAUUGGGUGCUAUAGCAUUGCGUGUCAGUGUGUGCACGUCAACCCAGUGGCUGUGAGUGAAUUGCUGACGCUUUAACAAUUUUUGAAUAUUGCACAUCACAAGCUGGAAUGUCUUUGUGGCCAUCUGACGUCUGACUGCAUUUUCUCUAAAAUCCUUGUAUAUUUGUGAUGGAAGAAAGUCUGGCAAAGGAUUAGGGGGAAACAGCAAACUGCCAAAAUCUGCACAGCCUGUCAGAGUUUGGAAAGGAAAGAGACAGGAGAGGAAAAAAAUGUCAAGAAGGAGACUGCAAAUGAGGCUUGUUUCAAUAAGGGGAUCGAUGGGGAUGCAGGAAAAGAUGUUGUGCGCAUCGAUGAUAAGUGUCCGCAAGCAAACACUGGAGGGGAGUUUAUAGAAGGGGCCUGUGUGUGUGUGUGUGUGUGUGUGUGUGUGUGUGUGUGUGUGUGUGUGUGUGUGUGUGUGUGUGUGUGUGUGUGUGUGUGUGUGUGUGUGUGUGUGUGUGUGCGUGUGUGUGUGUGUGUGUGUGUGCGCGCGCGCGUCCAUGUGUCCAUGUGACCCACAGGAGGCUGCGAGACACAAUAGGUUUAUGACUAGCUGCAUGAAAACCAUUCAUUCAAGGCCUUUGUAGCGGUUGUUGUUUUGAUGUGAACAAUGAUGUGAACAGGAAGAGAAGGCGAGGCCAUUGCUCCGCUCUAGAACAAACCCUGUGUGAGCCAGUGGAGGGGUGAAGGAGGCUCAGCCUCAUAAAUCGCAAAUCCAUUUCGAAUAUACACCUAUUUUUUUAUAAGAAACCUCUGGUGGUGCUAAAUAGGACAUCUCUACGGGCCGGCUAAUUAUUUUUAGCCUGUUGUCCUUCCUGUCAUUAGUUCCCUGGCCCAGGCCUUUAGUAGGAAGAUGUGAUUGUGGGGGACAGUCCUUCAGCAGUUGUGCGUGUCACGGGGCCCCGCGGGGACGCGUUUUUCACCGCGAGCAGGACCCGUCAUGGCAGACGGGCCCCAGUGGCCGCAGUCGCUCUGCUUAGCUUCACUUCCCAGGCACAUUUUCUCUGGAGCCGGCUGAGCUCAUUACAUGUGGUCCAGGUACUUAUGUUACAGGUCCGCGCGUCUGCCUUUGGAAGUGAUGCCAGUUCAUACAUCAUACAUACAAUCCAGUGAUGGACAAUCUGUGAGAGGUUCAGGAUGCUAUCAGUCACUGACGGCCUCUAACAACUUAAAAUCCUGGCAAACACUUGACAUUCUUAGAUCUACUCACGCAUGUAUUCUAGUGUAUUUCCACAAGCUUUAUGGUCUGGAUUUAGCCUUUAAUGCUCAGUCUCAGUUACAAGCACCUUAUACCAGUUUUUCUCCAUUCUUUUUGCUAAUUCCACUAAAUAUUAUGAUUUCCAUGCUAAUGUGAGUGCCGUCAAACUGUGCACUUCUUUGGGCUCUGUUGAUAAUUAGCGUCUGCUGGGACUUCCUGUUCUGCAGAAAAAGAACCUUCGCAGCAAAAAAUAACAGCGAAGAACAACAGCCUCCUUUAAGGUAGCGUCGGCUGAAUGAAGAUGGAGGCGGCUCUGACGAGUCUCCAGCCCAGAGGUCUUACCCCCUCCGUCUACUGUCUGCUGUGGGACCCCUGAGGAUGUUGUUCACCAGGAGGAACAUCCAUCUCUUUUUUUUUUUUUUUUUUUUUUUUUUCUCAUCCCAAAUUACCCGUCGUCUUUCAUUCCCACUCCCCGUGUAAAUGAAGUGGGUGCGAGAGGGCAGCAAAGCGGUGGGCUGAUGGAUCUUAUUAGAGGUGUUGCAUUGAUAAACGGCGGCGCGGCGGCACCAGGCGGGCUGAGAUGGAGCGGGGAGGCAGGGGAACAAUGCCGAUGCCUCUGUUCACGGUGGCGAGGUGCCCUUCAGACGACGCAGGCGCAAGAGAAAGGCGCCGAAAGAUGAGUUGUCACGAACGCAGCAUUGAUGUCACCUCGUGCAUCUGAGUGACUGGGGAGGCGGCUCCACGUGUGUGCGCUGAGCGAAGCUCCAUGUUAGCGGACGGAUAAACGUGUGUAGCACUCACUGCCUCGGUCUCACCCUAAUUUCAGUGUCCUCUGGCUUUUUAUUUAUUACUAAAUCCUGUCCUCCCUUAUCUUCCACUGGGCUUUUAUAUAUUUUAUAACCACACGGAUUCAGUUUUUUCCCUUUUAUAUAUUCAGUAGUUAACAUGGUGACGUGUACAAUAACACACUGUAUCAUAACUUGUGUCUUUACUUAAAUUUAUAGAGUUGAGCUGGUGCAAGGCUUUGAUAUAAUCUAAUAAUCUAGAAUCUAUUUUCAACUACUAUUAAUAUUUUUUAUCUUAAUAGUAACAGUGGACUGGAAAAACUCCCUCUAACGGAACAAACAGCAACAGGUAACGACAAAAUCUGUUUAGUAUUGAAUCAAGUGUUAAUGAAUCACCACUUGGUGAAAAUGAAUAUCACCAACCGUUAAUCAGGGCUCCGGCUGAAAGUUUCUAUUCACAUUCAUAUGAGGAGAAUGAUCAGCGACAUUUGUAGCAUCGUAAUGAAGGAGGAUGCUAAUAUUUAGCAUUAGCUUGUAAUCGUUGUUUAUUUUAAUAUUGUCUCUAAAGAUCACUUCAGUUCUAAACGUUUUAAAGCCUUUGAGGCGUUUUUACAGUUUAAACACGAAGAAUUUUUUUUUUAGGAAAACUAGGAGAAUUUUUUAAGACACACUUACAGUAGGACCCACUUGGGAGUCUGGAAUCUGACUGCACUCAUGUGUCUCCAGCCUCCACCUCUGCUAAUUAGUUGAUCCACAGGUUAUGCUUUAUUAGAUCCAAUGAACAUUGCACCAUUUCAACAGGGCUGGUGCUGCAGCUCGGAGGGGACCGGCCGUAUGUCAUGCUCUCCCCCUCCUCAUUAGGAUCCUCCCUACCUGCUUAGCUGUCGCAUGCACAGUAUACACUCAGCCUCAUGACACAGGGAUUUUGGACUUGACGUUCCACGCGCUGCAUGAACAGGUUCUCGCGGGGUCAACGCCUUUUGUGACGAGAGGCAAAGUUGAGGUAACGUGGGAUCAGAAAACGAAAAUUUGUUAAUAGCCUCCGACAUAUCAGUAGCACUGGCUUUGGUUUGGUCUUACUUCGAACUCCCUGCCUCCUAGACUUCCUCCACUCCAGUACGACUGCAAUAUUUAUGUUUUGCCCAGCCUCACGUUAUUGUACCUUGGGCCUCUGUGACUCGUCUCGCUCUGUCAUCAAUAAAACUCCCUCCUUCGCCUCUUUUGCUUCUCGCUUCAUCCAAAUACGUGCCAAGAUGGUAUGAUAAUGAAAUAGCGCUUCAUAGCUGGACGCAUGUUCAUUCAUCAAAGCGUGAGGUUUAUUAAGACGAGUGCCGGGGUCCCAGCUGUGUGUGAGUGCAGACAGGAUGCUGUAGUUAUGAAGUGGAGCUCACAACGGGACCACAGUAAAUCUUACAGUAAAUUCCAUGUGAAUGAGUGAGGUCAUUACAAAUUGAACAGUGUUUCACAGCGUCUCUGUCUCCGUCUUCCGAUUCCCUCCAUUUUACCUCCUUCCUCUGCAGGAGAUUAGAGCGGCACCAGUCGCUGGAGAGCUUUUGGACGGAUUUAACUCAACCUGGGGCUCAUGAUGGCUGAAGACGAUCACUUAAAACUCUCUAAUCCAGUGGCUAAUGGAUGCGGUGAGAAGUUAAAAUGUGGAGUAAAAACAAGUGCUGCGGCAAUAAAUUCAUUCUCAUCUUAUUAUUUUUUGGAGUUGUAGGAGUUUCUGUCUCCUGCUUUUUAAACAAGGAGUGUCAUCCUGAGUGUUUAUGUGUUAUGAGCACAUCCGCCGUUGUCUCCGUCUCAUUUUGAACACCACCAUUCUAAUUACAAGAUGAUACAGCCGGGCAACUCAAGGGCGCUUAAAUAUCUAUUUAGGCUGAUUAAUGGGCCUUGCGACAUUUGUGGAGUUGAUGCUCGCCGGUGUCUUUGUCUGCCGGGCGGGUGAGGACGCGUGGGCCGAUUGAUCACGCCCAUUGAUUUUCACCGGAGCCGCGCCUCCGUCUCCGCACGUCGCCCAUUAAGUGAGAUAUGUGAACAUAUGUGUUGGACUCAUUCGAGUGUGACUGUGAGGUUUUCUGUUCGGAGGAAGCGAACGGCGCCUCCUGAGUCACCGGAGCGUGAUGCGUGUGUGUGUGUGUGUGUGUGUGCGCGUGCGUGCGUGCGUGCGUGCGAGCGCGCCUCUGCGGUGACACCAAUGCCGCGACACCCUGCUCUGCAAAUGUCAGUCCCGUCCAAUUAAAUGCUUGAGUGAUGCCAUUGCCCACGAGGGGGAUCCCACCAAUAAAGUUCUCUGUUUAUGAGCUUUGUUUCCUGCGCUCUGUCUUUUCUGGAGACACUUAAUAGACAAGUGUGCUGUCACACGGCGCAUCCUGUGACAGACCCGUGAGCCGUUACA
Molecule: long non-coding RNA, 7649 nt
Organism: Betta splendens (Siamese fighting fish)
Lineage: Eukaryota; Metazoa; Chordata; Actinopteri; Anabantiformes; Osphronemidae
Exons: 10
Source: RefSeq, a predicted model, not a curated record